This 497-nucleotide ribosomal RNA is filed under the name uncultured bacterium. Its description in RNAcentral is "partial 16S ribosomal RNA". It matches the Rfam family "Bacterial small subunit ribosomal RNA", at positions 28 to 507 of the family's 1533-position model. The record is from RNAcentral.
GAUGAACGCUGGCGGCGUGCCUAAUACAUGCAAGUCGAGCGAACAGACGAGGAGCUUGCUCCUCUGACGUUAGCGGCGGACGGGUGAGUAACACGUGGAUAACCUACCUAUAAGACUGGGAUAACUUCGGGAAACCGGAGCUAAUACCGGAUAAUAUAUUGAACCGCAUGGUUCAAUAGUGAAAGACGGUUUUGCUGUCACUUAUAGAUGGAUCCGCGCCGCAUUAGCUAGUUGGUAAGGUAACGGCUUACCAAGGCAACGAUGCGUAGCCGACCUGAGAGGGGGAUAGGCCACACUGGAACUGAGACACGGUCCAGACUCCUAAGGGAGGCAGCAGUAGGGAAUCUUCCGCAAUGGGCGAAAGCUUGACGGAGCAACGCCGCGUGAGUGAUGAAGGUCUUCGGAUCGUAAAACUCUGUUAUUAGGGAAGAACAAAUGUGUAAGUAACUAUGCACGUCUUGACGGUACCUAAUCAGAAAGCCACGGCUAACUACGUG